RNAcentral lists this long non-coding RNA (6400 nucleotides) under Salvia miltiorrhiza (redroot sage). RNAcentral describes it as "long non-coding RNA (SMIL_LNC008010)". Lineage: Eukaryota; Viridiplantae; Streptophyta; Magnoliopsida; Lamiales; Lamiaceae. The record is from RNAcentral.
AAUUUUCUAUUUAAGCUUAGGUCAUUGGGGUUAGGAUGUACUAUCUCAGUUCAAUCGUAAUUUGUGCAUGAAUAAAAAUAUAACAUAAUCGAAAAUUGAUUCUUUAAAAGCAAUUAUAACAAUAUUUUUUAUACAAUGAAGAGAGAUUAAGAUAAAUGAAGAACGAUUAGCAGUCAAGUUUUCAAUUGAAUGACAAUGAAAACGUAGAGAAAGCAUAGGACCCUCAUUCCGUUUCCUCCUCCUCUAGUACACUUGUAGCUCCACAUAAGCCUUAUUUUCCGCCCUAGCAUAAGUUCUUCGCGGUUAAGUUGGAAUCUUUUACACUUUGAAUGCCAUCAACAAUAAAUAGCAAUUAAUUAGACCAUAGACAUGUGUGCCGUCAUAAGAUGUAUGAAGAGCUUAUAAGUUGUCAAAGUGAUUGGAUAUUCAAGCUUAUAAGUUAGAAAGAGAUAAUCGUAGUUAGAGAGAGAAAAUUUAUGGGAAAUGAAAUUGAAAGGCUAUGUGUUGAAAAUAACAAACCAUAGUAAAGUUACAGUUGUAAAUUGAUUGUUUCUUAUAAGAUCAUGAAAAAAUAUGGUGGAAUUGUGAAAAUUAGAUGAUCAUUUUUAACAAAGGUAUUGUUGUAAUCCGGUAAAAUCCAUGAAGAAUUUAAAAAGCGGUGAACUUAAUCCCAUGAACAAUACUCCUUCCAUCAAAAGGGCGAUUUUGCCAAACACUCUUAAAUAGCUUAUAAGUUGUUUUAAGCAGCUUAUGAGCUCAGCCAAACACCCUUUUUAGUUGUGCCUUUCUUGAGCUAUUCUUCUCAAUUUUCACGUACCCCUUCUCGGGCACCUUUGAUCUUUUGUGACCAACUCGAGUAUGUGGCUUGGUCCAAGUUACGUAGUUCCAACGCCGAAAAGUCAUUGUGUUCCUGCCGUCGCCUUUGCUUGCUUCAUGAAUCUCACCAACACAUUAUCCUUCUCAUCCAACUUUCCGAACACUUCAACUCACCAACACCUUUGCUUGGUCCUCUCCUAUUCCUAAGGAGACCUUGGCGAUUCCAUUUAACACUACCAUGUCUUUCUCCUCCUCUAACCCUAUUAUGGGUCUUGGGGACAGCUUCCCUUCCCCCAGUGAGGGCAGCGGAGGAACGGAUGCAGUGUUGGUGGCAUUAGAAAGAGUUGGCAGCGGUUUUGGUGAAGAAGCAAGAAAGAUUGGAUGAGAAAUUAGAGAGAGAGAUAGUGAAGUCGCGCGGUUAGGGUUCAAGUCUAAACCUUGACAUUUUUGGGUGAGUCGUAUAUAUAUAAUUCAAUGGCACCGCCAUAUCCACCAUCACAGCCGCCAUACAGAAAAACUGCAUGCCAUGGGGUGGUGCCGUGGUGGUGGUGGCGGAAUCCUCAAAAACCGCCACCACCAUGGUGGAAACUUAACGACAUUGAUGUAUAUUUUCAACUUGGAAAACUAAAUAAAUGAAUUAUGCAUUAGAAAUAUAUACUAGAGUGAGGUUGGUAAUUUUAUACUAAAAGGAAUCCCUUUGACAUUUAUGAAAGGUGUCAUCAGAUCUCUCUAGGAUAAAAACCGAGGGUGUAUAGAGAAAAGAUCUUAUUAGCUCUUUCUAACUUCUUAACUUUAAGGUUAUAGAAUGUUAUAAUAAUAGAAUACACAAAUGAUCACAAGUUGUUAACUAAUAAAGCAUCACAAUCAAAAGCAUCUUUCAUCUAUGUUCUUUACGGGAGGGGACCCCAGUUGAACCACUUGAAAGAUCUUUUUAAGAUAAAUUCAUUAAUAUAGUUGGAUGAGAAAUGUAGAGAACAAAAAACAUAGUAUAUGAUAUUUUGUCCAAAAAAAAGAGAUAUAUUCAUAGAAAUUGUAGAGUGAGAUUACAAACCUUAACCUCCCUCUCUCUUUAUCUUGAACACGACAAGCUAGCGACAUCAGCAGCAAAGACAGUUUAUCUACUUAGGUUGAUGUGAUACAGUUUAUCUUUAUGCCCCUUUUGAAUCUUUGAAAUGUAUAAUUUUACAGGCUGAAGCUGAACAGAUGCUUUUAAAUGAUUUGAGAAUCCGUUAUACUUAUUCUACAAGGAUGAUUUGGGCAAAAUAAAACAAUAGAAAAAGAAAAGGAAACUGAUGUAUUGUGUAUUUACCAGAAGGGGGAAUGCACGUCAAUAUUCCUCUGGAGGGGCGUUAAAUGUUGACAUUCGUGGAGAUUGUACAAAUCAGGUCCUGUCCUAUUCUUGGAGGUUUAGAUUGAAGACCUUUCCUCAGUUAGUAGACUUGCUAGUAGAUUAAUCUUCUAUACCUAGAGCUAUAUAGGUAGGCUAAACAAUGUAUUAAUUUGGUGAGAAUUUCUGCACUGGAAGUUAACUAAAAUAGUGAAUAGUUCACUUCCAAUGAAGGUGUCAAACCAGUUUACAUGGUGAUCAAAUUUCUAGCAUGAUUUAAUUUUAAGAUUUUUGCAGGGCCCAUCUAUGCUAUAGUUGCACCUAUAUAUGUAUGAUGUAUCUAUACAGAAGUUCGCAUUUAGCGACUAUAGGCCAGAAGAUAAGAACAAGUGGCAAGACAUGCCCCAGUUGUGGUAGCUUUUCUUUGUUUUUUUAUCCCUCCACUUGGUUACAUCUUACAAUCCGUUACUGAUGAUUGUGAUGUAUGAAAAAUUCUAAUGUGGAGUCUCUUGCUAUAUAGAUUGGAAUUGGUGAUUAUCUAUUUAAGCAAUUUUUAUCACCAUAUCUUGACUCAUACCUCAAAAUAUUUGAAGCUAAUAUAAUAUUAUAAUGAGAUUUUUGCUGCUGAUAUGCUUGUGUUAAAGAUGUAUAAUAUCCUCUAGAGACUGGUGCUAGCUAGCUAGCACAUGUGCGUGCAUUAUCUUCCUUUUUAUAUUUAUCAUUCACUUCAAACUAUCUAAAAUGUUUAUUGUAUGAUUUACAAAACUUCAUUACUUUGUAUGAUGAAAGAUUUCCUACUUGAAAAGUCUUAUGCUUGAGUCGGCAAGAAUGUCUGGAUAUUUACCUCGAGAUUAUGCUUUAUUUUUUCAGCCAUUUGCAGUUGUUAUCUUUUAUCAUUCAUGCUAGGCCCAUGGACUUGUGUCUUUUAGUACGUGUCUUCUUUUAUUUGUGAGUGAUAUUCUGACUUAACUGAACUAGAAUUGCUAUCCAGCUUGAGUGAGAUCCUGCAACGAUAUCAUAGUCGGACUGAGACAGAUGCAGGUCCCUCAAGUCAAAGUUGUGAGACACAGGUAAGCGGAUCUGUUUAUGAAAUUAAAGUGGGUUUAAUAAGGCCUCUGUGCAGGUUUGUUUUUAGUAAAAGCCAAAACAUGUCUGAAGGUAUAUAUUCAAGUAUUUAUUCAUCUUACCAUAAUUUGUGGGACAGUUUUUAUAUAAAUAUAAUUUGUGGGACAGUUUUUAUAUAAAUAUAAAUUUGAAAGCAAAUAUAAUAAUAUAUGUAUGGAUGUUUACAUGCGUGUCAAUGUAAGAUGUAGAUGCAAAAUAUAGAUUAUAGUAUUUAACAUAAAUAAAUUUUAAAAUCAAUAGUUUUAUCAUGGACCAUGCAUGCAUGUAGUGAUUUGAUUGGAAGUUAAUUUGAAAUUGGUCUAUAUUUUAGCCUUAGUUGAACAAAAAUUCCAUAAUUUCAUUUGCCAAUAGAUUUCUUUAACACCAAUGUGUGAUUAUGCUUAUGCAUGUUCCAUACUAAUUACUACAUUCUCUUCAUACAAAAUUGUAUAUGUUUAUAGUAAAACGUUGUAUCCAAGUGUAUAACAUAAUAAAUGAAUUUACAUUUUCAAAGAUUUGUGCGUAAAUGUACAUAAAAACUACAUAUAAAUGUAAAGAGCAUAGGGUUAAUAGUAGUUAUGACCUCAACUUUAAUUUAUCCUUUAAUAUCCUGAACUUUGCAAUAUGUUUAAUUUUGUUCUGGGCCGUCGGAUAUCUGACUAGCUCACCCAUAAAUGCAAGAAAAAAANAAGAUAUGAUACGAUUAACACGUUUUACAGAUGAGCCUAGUUUGAUAUCCGACGACUGAUAUUUUUGCUGGGAGGCAAAAUUAAACAAAUUUGCAAAGUUCAGGAUAUUUAAAAAAGGGAUUAUAGCAAAAAAAUACACGAACUUUGAUAAAAGUUGCAAUUUUCACCUGAACUUUCAAAUUAGCCAAAAUAUACCUGAACUUAUAUUUUUUGUUGUAAAUUUCACCUGAACUUGCAAUGAUUGAACUCCGUCGAGGUGAAAUUUACAACAAAAAAUAUAAGUUCAGGUAUAUUUUGUCUAAUUUGAAAGUUCAGGUGAAAAUUGCAACUUUUAUCAAAGUUCGUGUAUUUUUUGGCUAUAAUCCCUUUAAAAAAUAAGUUAAAGUUGGGGUCAUAAUUAACUACUGUUAACCCUAUAACAUAUGCUUAGUUGUUUGAUAUAUUUUUUGUAAGUUCAUAAGCAUUACAUUAUUUAUGAUUGUAAUCAUUAUUUUUAUGAAGAUUGUAUGUAGGGGUGGUUUUUUCUAGCUUGUACAUUUUUAGACAUAUAUAUCUAUAGUCCAAAUUGUGUGACUUAUUUAGCAGACACUCGGUUUGAGUUAUUUUUCAAAUUUUGCUUCUCAACUAUUUUUCCUAUAAUUUAGCACUAGUCUCUAGAACAGCACCUAGUAAGAAUAUUUGUGAUACUUCAAAUAUUUGAGUAUCCAUAUAAUUAUAAAGAAAAUGGGUUUUAGAUAGUGAUUGAAUCAUAACUGAAAACAGGGAUCAUAGUCCUAAAUUAAUUGUAUGUGUAUAUUAUGAAGGUCAUUGGUUGUGUUUCCAUGUCAGGCUAAAUAUUCGCGUUUCCUGACAUGUGAGGAGCUCCUACAAGUAGUAGAAAGGCAGCCACUUCAUCCCUCCCUCUCCCUCCCCUUACACUUUACUUUGUUAAGUUGGCAGUCAUGACUACAACAGCUCUUUCUAUUUAAUUCUGCAGGGAGCUUGAGGAGCCAUCCGCCGACGACCUCAGUGUCGCCGACUUUAUACAUCUUGAGAAACAAUUUGAGACUGCACUAAUACAGGCCAGAGCAACUAAGGUAACUGAACUUUCAUUCUUAAUAUGAAGUGAUAAUGAGUUAUGCUGCUUACCAGCCAACUGUUUUGUCGUAUCGGCAUGCCUUUGUGUUAAAAGUUAUGCCCAUUUGCAGUCCAAGCAGAUGAUUCCGUUGAUUCUCAAACCUAGGAAGGAGCUCAGGCAAAAUUAUACUACAAGAUGAGAAAUGCUUGUUUGGUCUUCUAAUAAAAAAUAAAAAUAUAUAUAUGCACUAGGAAGGAGCUUGUGUAUAUAUAUAUAUCUCCUGACUGACCACAUAUUAUCAAAUGCAUAAUCUGGAUUGAGUUGAGCGACCUAUUAUACGUACAUAUGUAUCAAUUUUACAAUUUUCUUAUGCUUAACUUCCAUUAAUAGUUGGUAGAUUGAUUCUUAUUUGAUUGCCGAGUUUGUUGCUUAUGCAGACACAAUUGCUUCUGAAGUCUAUAUCAAGCCUCGAGGGAAAGGUAAACAUUUGCAUCUUGUAUUUUUGGUGAAGACUGCUAAGCCAUGAACCAUGCAAAUGAGUUAUAUAUAUUCACAACGGGUUUAAACAUAAGGAGAGGAAUUAAAGAGAUGCUGUGUAUUACAAAAGUGGAAAAGUUAAGGAGUCACCUUAUUUAUACCUUGAUUUUGAACAGGAAAAGCUGUUAGAGGAAGAGAAGAUGUUGUUGAAGGGGAAGGUAUAUUUGUAGACUUGGAUAUACAAUACAACUGAAGUAAUGAUGUUUAGUUAGUAACUCACUGAUUAAGAACAGAUUGGUGGGAGCAAGACGAAAAUACCGGUGAUCGAUCUCAACGCCCUUCCUUCCGAGGAGUGAAUGGCUGAAUACUAGCUCAAGCUCUCAGAAUAAUAAGUGGCAAGAAACACAUUCACAGCUCAGUUUUUACAUUCUGAAAGCCCGAGCAAAUCACACAUUCUCUCACCUUCUUGACGAAACCGGAUGCAUAUAUAUAUUGGUGGUUCAGCAUGGAAAUAAACAAGAAGAAAGCAACAUCCAUGGCAAAAAGAAAAGAGAUGAGACGUGGCGGAAUGUGAUUGGGGAGAAUCCACCUUUCAUCAAAGACUAAUGCGUCUCCACUUGUAUUUGUAUCAUAUUCAUAUAUAUACGCUCAAGAGAGAUGCUGCGAUUUAUUUAAAUCUUAAUUAAUACCUGAAUAAAUACUCGUAUAGACAGUCGACGGUAGGGAAAGUAGAAGAAAGACGUGGUGGAAUGUGAGUGCUACAAUAUUAAUUAGGCUGCCCACUUUGUUUUUUAACAACAUAACUUUAAUGGAAUCGCAUCUACGUCGACGAUACGUUCACUUCUCUGCACCCAUAGCUUAAUCGAAUAGAUUAUAGAGCCAAAUGUGCCACGUCUACACGUCGUCUCCUCCCAAUAAUUCAUAUGCAUG